ACAACAGUGAUGCCCUUAGUAAUGGCGAAUGAAACGGGCAGAGCCCAGCACCGAACCGCCGGCCAUCUCGGUCGUGCGGAAUGUGGUGUUCGGGAGAGCCUCAUCGAGGUGAGAGUGCCUGUCCAAGUCCUUCUUGACAGGGGCCAUUGCUCAGAGAGGGUGAUAGGCCCGUAGGACGGUCGGCUCGCCGAGGUGGCUUUUCCCCAGAGUCGAGUUGCUUGGGAGUGCAGCUCAAAGUGCGUGGUAAACUCCACGUAAGGCUAAAUAUGACCCCGAGACCGAUAGCGAACAAGUACCGUGAGGGAAAGUUGAAAAGUACUUUGAAGAGAGAGUUCAAUAGUGCGUGAAACUGUGCGGUGGUAAACGGAGGGGUUUCUCGAAGUUGGCCCCGGAGGUUCAAGUUUCAGGCUGGGUGGCCUGGGCGUACGGGAUCCGCAAGGACUCUGCGUUCAGGUGGGCCUGGUCUGCGACUGCACUUCUCCGGUGGCUUGGCGCAACGAACUGCUGGCGGUGCACCAUGGGCGUGGGUGAAGUUGGAGCUCGGCUUGCCGGGUUGCAGCCCCGCGUUCCAGGCUGCGCAGCCGGCAGGUAAGAGGGCGGCCUCGUAUAGCGAGCACAGUCUCUUGUGCGGGCUGCGUUUCUGUUGCGAGUAGGUCGGCGGCCCCUCCGACCCGUCUUGAAACACGGACCA
RNAcentral lists this ribosomal RNA (691 nucleotides) under Ergasilus briani. RNAcentral's name for it is "eukaryotic LSU rRNA". It matches the Rfam family "Eukaryotic large subunit ribosomal RNA", at positions 65 to 668 of the family's 3401-position model. The record is from RNAcentral. Lineage: Eukaryota; Metazoa; Arthropoda; Copepoda; Poecilostomatoida; Ergasilidae.